GCACUUUUGUGCCCGUUGUAUGUCUGAAGUGUAGGGUGCCUGAGAAACGAAUGCUUAAGUCUUCUGGAAAAGGAGCGCCAUGGAGGGUGAUAGCCCCGUCUAGCAUUGACCUCAUAUAGGAUCUUAACAUGGAGUCGAGUUGUUUGGGAAUGCAGCUCAAAUGGGUGGUAUGCUCCAUCUAAAGCUAAAUAUCUGCGAGAGACCGAUAGUAAACAAGUACUGUGAGGGAAAGAUGAAAAGAACUUUGAAAAGAGAGUGAAAAAGUACGUGAAAUUGUUGAAAUGGAAGGGUAGGGCCCUAACCAUGUAAAGCCGUGUUGGGGGGGAAUAUAAUUGC
RNAcentral lists this ribosomal RNA (336 nucleotides) under Starmerella bacillaris. RNAcentral describes it as "partial large subunit ribosomal RNA". It matches the Rfam family "Eukaryotic large subunit ribosomal RNA", at positions 124 to 467 of the family's 3401-position model. Lineage: Eukaryota; Fungi; Ascomycota; Dipodascomycetes; Dipodascales; Trichomonascaceae. The record is from RNAcentral.